GAAGCCAUGGUGGGGAGAAACUGAUUUACCGUCAGCGCUACCCGUGGCUAUAUCCGAUACUACGGGGGGCUGUUUUUAUGUUUCGAGUUAGCUAAAUAUACAAGUGAAUUGUUAUUUAAAAUUUAUUUAAAUAACAUAACAUAAAAUGAGUCACAAAAGUUGUUGUGUUGUUAGUUGUAAGAAUACAGGUAGAAAAAGUGCUUGUCAUUUUUAUAAAUUUCCAACAGCAAGUUGGAAAAUAAAUCAAAGGAAAAAAUGGAUAGCCGCUGAGGAGACAAAAUAUUGAUGGCUCAUUGUGGACUCCAAAGGCACAUGAUUAUAUUUGUAGUGAUCAUUUUAUUGGAGGCCAAAAGUCUGACAUAGAAUCGAGUCCCAGCUACAUUCCUACUAAAUUUCCUACAGUUUAUAAAUCUCAAAAAGUUAAUGAGUUAAUGGUCACGAAUAGAUUUAAGCGCUUAAUGGACCGCCGGCAGAACAAAAAUGCAUCUUCAGCACUCAAUCCUGAGCCUGAAGUUAAUGAAUUGCAAGAAAUGAUUACUGAAGAUCCGCCGACAGUAACUCAUUUGAGAGUUGAUCAAGAGUGUCAAGUUAACUAGCUUUAAAGUCAAAUUAACUAGUCAAGUUAAAUAGCUUUCGUUAUUCUUGCGAAACUCUUCUACCUCUCGGACAUGUUCAGCAAGAACCAGCUUUUUUCCUUUUACCAAUGUCUGUGGCUGGAACUGAAUUUCGUGGGUUAUUGAUUGAAAUCCCGUUUUUAUUAUGGUUUCCAUUUUAAAUCCAAAUCUGAAAAUAAAAAUGAUAAAUUUAAUCGAUUAAAAAUUUUUCCCAGCUUUAUUAUUGAAUUGUAAUAUGUUAAUUUUAGUUAGCAAACAUAAUCUAUUUUUUUUGUACUUUAAAACAAUCAGCACUUUUAAUUUGUAGAAUUUUGAAACAAUAAAAUAUUUUGGUAAUUUCGUUUAAUCUAAA
Molecule: long non-coding RNA, 966 nt
Filed under: Cotesia glomerata
Lineage: Eukaryota; Metazoa; Arthropoda; Insecta; Hymenoptera; Braconidae
Description: uncharacterized LOC123259757
Source: RNAcentral